This 2002-nucleotide long non-coding RNA is filed under the name Homo sapiens (human). RNAcentral describes it as "HSALNT0402217". The record is from RNAcentral. Lineage: Eukaryota; Metazoa; Chordata; Mammalia; Primates; Hominidae.
GGUAAUUCUACUACUUUACCAUUUGAUAUAAAAAAGUGAAGUUUAAAGAGGAUGAAUGAUCAGUCAGUAUAAGUCAUCUCAGUCAGCAAGUAGUAAAAAGAGCCAUCUAAUCCUUACACAUCUGACUCUAGAACUCUAGUCUUCCCUACUGUAUACAUACCUUUCAUGUGUGCUCAAAGGAAAGCAAGAGACUCAGGAUGGGCAACAGCUCAUCUCUGCUUGGUAAGGUCUACAGCUUCAACUGAGGACUUUAAUCCUGAGGGUAACUCAAGAGCAGGAGCAGGAAACAUCAGCGGCCAUCCUCACUCCUGCAUGUCUGGCCAUUGGUGCUGCCUGUCAGGUGGGACAGCAGUGGAGCUAUCAGCAAGAACACCCUCAGGGCCUUCUCAUGUGGCCACUGCAGCCUCAUCAUAGGAUGGAGCCUGUGCUCUAAGAGGGAGCACCCCAAGCUCUACCACCUUUUAUGACUCAUCUCAGAAGUCACAAAGGGUUCCUUUCCUAAAUUCCUAGCUCCUACAAAACUCAAGGGGAAGGAAUAGAGACCACUGGGUGUCUGCCAUGGUGGUCUCUAAAGGAGAAUAGAGGAAGUAGUUAAGUUGAAAUCCAGCAAACAUUCUACAUUAGGGGUGAACUGGGGCAAGGAACAAGGUGACCCCACAUUCCAAGCUAGUGGUUAAAUGGAGGUUAUAAUAAUUCAUCAAAGAGAGGUUAGCACAGAAAGAUCUAGAAUAACACCCAGUCAGCCAUGACAGACUGCAUUUUCCAAAUGUGUCCACAAUGAUAUCUGCCACAACACAUGUUCUUUGAGAACCCUGUUACUUUCUAACUCUUGAGUACAGGCAGGUUCGAGGUCAUUUUUAACCACAGGUUAUGCUGGAGUGGUGCAGUGUUACUCUUGAAACCUGGUGCUACAAGGCAACAUGUUUCUUCCUUGCUGGUGAGACAUUUGUUCUCUGACGUCUUAGGUGCUGUGCACGGAGCUCGACUAUCCUGAAUCCACCAUGAUUCGACCUCAUGUCAGUCCUUUGGCUGCCAGCCCAGUUCAACUCCAAGCUGAUGACCAGUGUCGACCGCCAGUCAUUCUGAACAUUUGACCAGUUGAGCUUUCAAAUGAUGGCAGUCCUGGCUGACAUUUUGGGUGAACAAUAUGAGAGACUGACUGGUUGAGCCCUUCCCAAAUUUCUGACCCACAACAUUGUGAGAAAAAUAAUCUUAAGCCUCUCAGUUUGGGGACAAUUUGUUACUCAGCAAUAGAAAUGAAAAUAUGAUCUCAGUAGGACCAUGUGACUUGCAGCAACCAGGGUGACAAUGAACGUCCCUGCAGAUACCCGAGGAGGGGACGCAUGAAGGUUCCCUAGGUGCCCUGUAAAUCUACAGCUUCCUGCUUUCCUCUGCCACAAACACAUGACACGCUGUACCUCUACACCUAAUCUUUUGGUUUGGAAAGGAACGGAAGGUGAUAGAAAUCUGAAAGUUGCGACUGAGGUUUACCAUCCUAAACACAUUAUUUCAGGAGACUAACUCCAAGAUGAUUGGCAUGAACUAGAAUUUUUCUCCCCUUUCUUAUAAAGCAAAUGGGACAGCUCAGGAGGAAGAUCGGAGCAGUUAUAUACAAAAAAUUAACACACAAAUGAAGCAACCACGUGGCCUCUGUGUAUAUGGAGAAAAGUGUGAGCAAAUGUGGGGCCCUAAUACAGAAUGUCAGCCAGGAAGACGAGGAAGGCAGACCUCCCUAGAACAGUGGUACAAGACAUUGGUGGUCAUCUUAACAGAUGUGCACUGACUGAUAUCCUUCAGAAUAGGAAGGAAAUGUGAGAUCUUAAGAAGGAAUUCUAGGGGAGGUCUCAGCUUUACCCCCUGUGACUUGCACUUGGUCAGUAUACAACUUAUUCUUCCCACCAGAGUGAUAGAAAGAAAAAAAGAAACUGAGUUCUGUAUGUUGAGAAAUAUCAUCUUGGCCUUUAAAUUAUUUUAAAAUUAUAGCAACAUGAGUCUUCCUGAA